AAAACAUGUCUUUUUGAUAAAAAUUUAAAGUCAGGUCUGCUCACUGAAUUAUUUUAAAGAGCCGCAGUAUAUUGACUGUGCAAAGGUAGCAUAAUCAAUAGUUUUUUAAUUGGAAACUAGAAUGAAAGAUUAGACGAAAAAUUAAUUUUCUUUGUUUUAAUAAAUUUAAUUUUAAAUUUAAGUGAAAAUGCUUAAAUAAAAUUAAAAGACGAGAAGACCCUAUAGAUUUUUAUUAUUGAAAUAAAUUUUUAAAUUUAAUUUAAUAAAAUAAUUUAAUUGGGGCGAUUUUAUAAUAUAAAUAACUUAAUUUUUUUAAACCAUAAAUAAUUGAAUAUUUGAUCUAAAAUUUUUAAAGAAAAGAUUAAAUUACCUUAGGGAUAACAGCGUAAUUUUAUUUAAGAGUUCAUAUCUAUAAUAAAGUUUGCGACCUCGAUGUUGAAUUAAGAUAAUAUAUUGGAGUAGAAAUUAAUAUAAUUAGUCUGUUCGACUAUUAAAUUCUUACGUGAUCUG
Molecule: ribosomal RNA, 510 nt
Filed under: Ptycta kauaiensis
Lineage: Eukaryota; Metazoa; Arthropoda; Insecta; Psocodea; Psocidae
Description: partial 16S ribosomal RNA
Rfam family: Bacterial large subunit ribosomal RNA (bases 377-510)
Source: RNAcentral